Molecule: long non-coding RNA, 818 nt
Organism: Hevea brasiliensis (rubber tree)
Lineage: Eukaryota; Viridiplantae; Streptophyta; Magnoliopsida; Malpighiales; Euphorbiaceae
Exons: 4
Source: RefSeq, a predicted model, not a curated record
UUAAAAUUCCCUCUUUUUUUUUUUUCCCCAAUUAUUCUUCCUCUUUCCCAAUCUCGCCAAUCCCUUGCUCCUCUCCCUCUUUCUUAUGUCUGCCCAUUACCACAGUUUGCCCCGCUUUGAUUUCAAUUGGGAAUUUAUAAGUCACCAUUUAGACUACAUCUUUGAUUUUUACAGUUAUCGUGUUCGCCGUCUUUCUCUAAAAACCCUAGCUACUCCUGCCCAAUUUUAUUUCCCUUGCUCUCUUUUACACAACCCUCUCGAUUCUAAAUCCUCCUUUCGACAACCCGCAAUCAACCAGAGAUUAUUGGACUGUAAGCUGUUGGGAGAGACAAAAAGAGGGCGAGAGUUGUAGGGUUCGAUGGCCGGUGGCUCUGAUGCGGCGGAAGCAACUACCUUAUCCUGUGUUCAAUGCGGGAAGCCUGUGCAUCUUCAGUGCCCAAAGUGCAUGGAAUUAAAGCUUCCUCAAGAAGGUGCCGCUUUUAGGAUCUGCUCUUGUGCAUUGAGAAAAGAAAUUCAGGGAGACAUUGGCAAAGAUUGAUCUAGGAAGUGUCUCUCAAUAAUUGAUAAUAUGUUGUCUUUCUUUUAUGUUAGUUCAUGUCAUACGCAGCAAGUUUAAGGUGUUUGAUCAAAGCUCCAAUGUUGUAUUUGUACAUGUUCCCUUCAAUAUUAGAGAGAGAGAGAGAGAGAGAGAUCAGUUUAUGAUUAAGAGGGAGUAUUUGUCUUUCGCUGCUAUUGGUAUUGGUCUAAGAUUUGAGUAGUUUGAUGAUAUAAUUUGGCUUUUUUGUUGUUCUUUUUAUGAAGAUCUUAUUUUCUGUUGA